This 497-nucleotide ribosomal RNA is filed under the name uncultured bacterium. Its description in RNAcentral is "partial 16S ribosomal RNA". It matches the Rfam family "Bacterial small subunit ribosomal RNA", at positions 28 to 507 of the family's 1533-position model. The record is from RNAcentral.
GAUGAACGCUGGCGGCGUGCCUAAUACAUGCAAGUCGAGCGAACGGACGAGAAGCUUGCUUCUCUGAUGUUAGCGGCGGACGGGUGAGUAACACGUGGAUAACCUACCUAUAAGACUGGGAUAACUUCGGGAAACCGGAGCUAAUACCGGAUAAUAUUUUGAACCGCAUGGUUCAAAAGUGAAAGACGGUCUUGCUGUCACUUAUAGAUGGAUCCGCGCUGCAUUAGCUAGUUGUUAAGGUAACGGCUUACCAAGGCAACGAUGCAUAGCCGACCUGAGAGGGUGAUCGGCCACACUGGAACUGAGCCACGGUCCAGACUCCUACGGGAGGCAGCAGUAGGGAAUCUUCCGCAAUGGGCGAAAGCCUGACGGAGCAACGCCGCGUGAGUGAUGAAGGUCUUCGGAUCGUAAAACUCUGUUAUUAGGGAAGAACAUAUGUGUAAGUAACUGUGCACAUCUUGACGGUACCUAAUCAGAAAGCCACGGCUAACUACGUG